This 17707-nucleotide long non-coding RNA is filed under the name Xyrichtys novacula (pearly razorfish). Lineage: Eukaryota; Metazoa; Chordata; Actinopteri; Labriformes; Labridae. The record is from RNAcentral.
GGAGGUAAUUAGUGCUGAAUACACAUUUGCUGGAGAAAUUGUAAGAUCAUGACAUUGUUAUUUCACCUGUCAUCUAAGUUAAGUGACAACUAAUGACUUCAUUAAUAUGAUAAUUAAGCAGAGAUCAUUCUUAGGUUUGAAGUGCCACUGAAACUUCAUUAGACUCCCUCCCCAUAAUAUUGCUAAUUGCGUGUCAAUUACAGGGUUUAGCCCACUUAGACAUUAAUUUCUAUGCAAAUUUUGAAUUCGUUUACCUAGACAAGGGCAGCGCUGUGUUCAGGGCAUUCUGUGGCUAUUUAUAUUUCUAUCUAGAGGUUUGCUUUGCUACAGUUGAAGUAUUUCAAGAUACAGAAUGUAAAUUACUACAACUGAUUCCGAAUUGCUCUUAAUUUCUUUAAUUAUAUCUUGCUGUCUGAAGCUGAAAACAAGGAUUACAAAUUACUAAUGAAGUUUUGACGCUACAGUCCCAGCUGUAAAAUUAAAGUGCGAUACUGAUGAGUUGAUAGCAGAUCAUUUGCUUAAAAACAGGGAAAAGGUGAAUUUUUUGUGUAAUCUUUAAAUGUUGAAGUCUUGAUUCUCUCUAACUACAGAAAACUCCCCCUUUCACCACAGUAAUAACAUUGUCAUGUAGAGCUGUAAUAACAGCUGAUUAAGUUACACUGGUAAACCCGUCCACGCAUUGGAGGCUAUGAUAGAAAAAAGAGAGAGUGAGAAAAAGGGAAGUGAGAGAAGGCAAGUAAACAUGGGUAAAAUGGAUUCUCUGUGUCUAUAUUUCAUGUUGGAAAUUGGCUCAUAAAUCCAGUGGUUUGAUCUAUGGAACCCGUCGUUGCUUGAAAAAACCUCCGUAAAUGUGUAAUUUCUCCCUUGACAGAACACAGCCGAAAGGCUAUCUUUCUUUGGCUUCCUCCUCCCCUCUCACUCUCUCUCCCCUUUUUCCUCUGUCUCUCAUUCUCGUUACCUCUCUCUUCCAGCUUGCUGUUGGAUUAAUGCUCUUCUCUCCCCCUCACUCCUUUCAUGCUCCUCUGAUAUCUGCUUUUCAUCACUGCUCAUCCAUUUAUCAAACCGGGGUCUUCUUUUUUCUCUUACCUCUCUAUAUGUUAACCCAGCUUAAGUUAUAUGGCAGCUAUCUUGUAAGAUAGGCUUCAAGAAAGUGGAGGUUAUUAAUAAAUACUAGUCUAAAUUGAAAAAAAAGGAGGCAGGGAUGCAUCACCAGCCAUGUGUGAAUGAUAUAGACCCCUUCUUGCUUCAUCUGCUGUGAGCUCGGUCCAGGCUCCAGUGUAGGUUCUGUAACACUGAUGUGAAAAGCAUGAUGCAGAACACAGCGGCCGAGUGUCUUAUAAUGUGGUUGUGAUGGCAUCGAGAUGGGAUCUCUUUAUCAAGACCAGGCUGAGGCUUUAAUCACGGCCUAAGAGGUGCACUGGCUGUUUAUCAUAAUUGAACUGUAUCCAGGCUAAUCGCCGGCAUACGUCACUGUCGAGGGGUCGCUCAGCAGCACAGCCAGGCGAAGCUGCUGGGGGUGAUUGAACACACAGUUAAGAGAAAGGAUGUGUACUGAGGGACAUAAGGCAGGAAAAGGCAGGUAAUAGCAGAUGUGAUAGAAGCCUGUUCAAAUACAUCACGCCUGGAGGUAAUCGCUGAUGUGACAAUGAUUAGAUUGUCUAUGUCUCCUUGCUGUGGCACAGCGUUUUACACCCAUCAUAUCUCACAUGAUCACUGAUUACUAUAAGGUGGAGAGGCAGGAAUGGUCUAAUAAGAGUUUAGGUACAGAGGUUGGAGGAUUUCUUUCCUUUGUUGUGGUUUGGGCAUUUACUCGAUGUCCAAAUCAGACUUCAUCUCCUCCCCCCUCUCUCAUCUCCAUGUCCUCACUUUGACUUUCACCUCCUGCUGUAUUCAGGUCACCUUGGGGGACAGAACUUUUAAUCAUUGUUCCGCAUCAAGUUCACCUGUGCCCCUGGGACACUGAGCUGCAACAAAGGACAGGGGAGUUAAAACCGCAGGUUUGAAAAUCUCAGUCGCCCACAGGGCUGGACAGUGUAUUUUUAAAAAAAAAAUUCUUUAGCUGCCAGGGGAAGUCCUGGUACGACACAAACCCAAUCACUGUCGCUAAGCAGUGCUUACAGCUAGGCAUUAACCCCUCUGUCCACUCUCCACAUUAAAGCCCCAGGGAGGAAGAAGAGGAGAGUAGAGUGGAGUAGAGCAGAGAGAGUAGACUAAAUCUAGACUUUCUACUCCCUGGUGCUGUGCUGCUCUUCUUGGUCAGGUGUUGUUUUUCAAGGUGUAGAAGAAACACAGAGUACAACAAACAUAGCAGAUGUAUUCAGGCAACAAGUGAGAUCUUAAUUUUAUGGAAUCUCUUCAGAUAAUAAAACAUAAUGAGGCCACCUUGCUGACUCCUGGUUUACCUCUAUUAACACUUGGAGACGUCACUAAACAGUUCUUCUCUUUCUUUCUUUUAGUGAGUUAUUCAUUCAGUCCAAACUACAAGACUCAGACCUUACAUUUAAAGACCUUGAAAAGAGAUUUUUAAUCCGUAUGAAACAGACUGACAUCAAUAUUGGCUCUUCUUCAAGAGCAAACAAGAUCACCGGUGAGAGAACAGGAGGGGAGGCGUCACAUGAUGGGAUUGACAGAAAAGCACUUUCGUUUUUAAACUUUGCAUGCAAGAUUUGAAAAUGAGUGGCUCGAUCGAAUGUUAAAAGAAAGCAGGAGUAGAUUUGAUGAAUAAUAAGAAAUACUUCCUGCAGUAAUAUCUAGGGGGAUUUUGAAAUAAAGAUGAUAAAUAGGUAGAGACAGGGGGCUAGAAUCUGCACACCAAAAUUUCCUCACAUGAGCUUGAGAGUAAAAUCUGUAAAUUUCAACCUCUGCUGCUGUUAGUACGACUACUAUUCUUUGAACUCUGUCUCAGUCUUCACUAAGUUCUUCUUGUCCAGCUCUUUGUCCGCUUGGUGCGAUUUCACUUCAACCAGCUAGUUCACUUUUUUGUCUGCCAUCUGUUGCUGGGCAGAUAGUGUUCAUGAUGGUUAACAAAGGUGUUAGGUUUUGAAAUGUGAGGUGAAGUGCUGAAACAAAGGUGUAUAACAGUCACAAAACAAUAGGUGUUAAAAGCGCAUGAAGAUGAUGAAUCAAGAAUUAAUGAGUUAACCACCAGCCUCUAAUUUAUCUCAUGUAUGGGCUUGUAUUUUAUUGUCUGGCUCUAACAUCAGAGUAAACAUGAUUGAAAAGUGGGCCACGUUAGGGUGAGCAGUGUGGUCCACUCAGGCUAGAGCUGUGAUUGCAUGCUGACCAUAAACGAGAUCAGGUUGGACGGAUCAUCCCGGCUCUGUUCAACCAGCAGCCCUCAGAAACGAAGCAGUUUGACUUGAUUUGUCAGCAAGAGAUAGAGAGGCCUCUGAACAAUAUGUGACAGUUACCCCGGCAAAUCAGAGCGGUGAAUGUCCCUGUCUUCACCUGCACAAGCUCAACUUUAACAAAGAAAAAAAAUCCAAUUUACCAUGCGGAUCCACAGCUGUCACGGCAGGAGAAUUAGACAUUACCCAUAACUCACUGGGGGUGCUGAGCAGGUCAGUGCAUGGCAGGGUUGGUAACAUCACUCUGGGGUGCAAUAACAAAGGAUUUUAACCUCUGACUUCUUUACUAAAGCUGCUGGCAGAACAUCCUCCUCGGUGGGAGCAGCCAUCGCCAAACUGGUUAACAAUCUGAGCUGAGUUGAUGACUCCACUUCCUGGUACACACCUCACACACCACUCAUCGUUUAAAUUCCCUCCUAACACAAACAGGAAAAUGUGGGGGGGAAUGUCAGUGUAAAUGCACUGCUUUCCACCCUGCUGGUUCCUGGAGCAGUUCCUGUGAUGCUUCAUAGGGGGGUUGCUGAGUUCCUGUAGCUGCUAGCUAGCGUCCCGAUGUCAUCACCCACACAAGCUUGACUGCUUGCCUGGCUGGUCCGCCACCGCCAGAGCCUCAAUUACCUGACUGACGUUUCAUUAGCAGCUGCAGCUGAUCCCGUGGCUGAGAGGCAGCGGGGCGCAGAGGAGCAUGGAGUGAAAGAGAGAGAAGAGAGAGAGAAGAGGGGGGAAGAGCGCAUUUCAUUCUCAUGGCCUGUCAGAGUGAAGCCACACAGCCACUCAUUACACUGCAGUCAUUUAGUACAUGGUUUUAUUGAGCUGGACUGUGUACUCUUAAAUAGAGUUUGGUGGGUUUUAUCUGGUGUCACCGGUUCUGAGUUGACAUUCACAUACUGGCACAGGACUUUUGGAGCAGCUGAAACUAUGAAAAGUUGCAGAGACGUCGUAGCAGAUUGGCGACAAAUCAAUCUGCCGCAGAACACCAAUCAGAGGUUUGACACUUUCCACGUUUGUCUGUAUUUGUGGAGCUAUUCUGUGUCUGUACCUGUGCUUGUGUGCCAUGUGUGGCCUCUCCAUCCUCGGGGUUAGUGAAGGCCAUGUCAGAGAUGAUCCAGGGCAGAGCCAAGGGGGGCUUAGUGAGACCCCAGGCCUGAGCCUCUCCACAGAGCCCACGCUUGGCUGGCCUCCCCUUCCCAUUUGUCAUCCUGGGCCGGUAAGACCCCCGGAGAGAUUAGGGCAGAGCAGAGAGACUGGAGGAGUAGCAGGAAUAAGAGGAUCAGUUAAGCUAUAAACACAGACAAGUUUGUGUCUCUCACCCACUCUGGCGCUGUGACAGUUUGUAAUGACCGUCAAAAGUUCCCUCUGUGCUGAACAUCUUUCUUUAAAAGACAUGACCAAGUCCAAAUACUUGUUUUUCUGUACAAGUAAAAGUACUUCUAUCAGUUUUAUUAAAUGCUGCGUGUGGAAAGAAAAGCAGGCCUGAGUUGGAUAUUAAACAAAAGCCUUAACAGUAUCGACCCGCAUUGACCUGAGCUAAUGAACCGGGACCCAAAUGCAGAACUGAAAUGCAAAGGUUUUCCUAUAAUUAGAGUUCUGUGGCACAAAGACCAUUAGUCAAAGCCUGAGAGCUUCUUCAUUUCCAUAUUUUUGAAUAUUGUACUUAAUUAUGCAAGGAGAACUGUGAGGUAGACAAGAAGUUUUAAGAAAGCCUCAUAAAGUCCUUAUUAAGAAGAGAGGGGAUUAAUGACAGUUAAUAUGAGGGCAAUCAAACAUUUAAUGCAAAGUCCCUCCUGCAGGCAAAAAGUAUUUAAAUAAGUCAAUUAGACAUUCAUUAUCUACAGGCUUAUAAGUGGAGUCAGAUCUGCAUAAAUGUUGGUGCGGAGCAUCACUCCCCUUUAAAAAGGAACUAAUGAAAUAUUAAAAAAGUUAACAACUUGGACAUGGAAAAUGUACAAAUAUUGAUUGCUAGAGGGCUGGCUCUGUGUUGUGUUGGAAUCAGGGGAGAACACACGAUAUAUCAACUGGAGAUUGUCUCAUAAAUCAUAAUUAUCGAGUUAGCAUGAUCUCUCCUCCCAAUUAGCUGUGUAGCAUUGUUGGAAUAGGAUGAGAGAGGGGAAAGGGGAAGCCCUCCAAUUGUCAAUAUUAUAAUUACAUGAGAUCCUGUGCAGUACCUGAAUAUUUCUAGUGCCUCUAAAUCAUAUGCAAGCUAACAAACAGCCUAAAAAUGAGUAGAUAUAUGCUAUAAACAUACAUAUGCUGCUGUGGAUGACAGAAAUAAUGUACCAAACUAUGCAGAUAUAUCAUUGUCAGCUCCUCCUCCUCCCUCUCUUUCUAGCCCUCCUUCUUUCUUUCCCUCCACGUCUGAGCCUCCACUCUUGUCAGUUGCCCCAGCACACAAUUACUGUGUGUGAUUGCUAUCAGGCGGGAUGGUCGGGGAGGCUCCCAAAUUAGGGCCUAAAUAGGAUUUCCUACAUGGCGAAGGGCACAGGCCUGGACAUGGUAAUGAAAGCCUAUACAUCACAAUCAGGCCGACAAUCCUAUUCAUACUGCAACACAUUACUCUCACUCCUCAUAAUUAUAGAGGGGUGACAGACGGGCCUGUGAGGCAUGGCGGAGGAGGCGCGAGAGCGAGGAGAAGGAGGAGGAGGAGGGGUGUUACUGGGGGAUAGCUGAGCAGUGUCACAGUUAGCUUUGAGUGGCUUCUUCUUCCCCACUUCUGUGAUCUCUUGAUACCUGGAGUGACCGGAUUAGGUGGAAGUCCACUGGGAUUAAUGCCACAUAGUUUCAGCCAACACUCCAGCUACCUAUAGAUGAGUGUCAUUACGAAAUAAGUGUUCUAACUUGGGUGUUUUCUCCCAACGGGGGAGAUUCCUCCAAUGGGACACUGACCACAUCUUCCAUCAGACUGACUGACACAGGCAAACACACACAAACACAAACACACACACGCUCCUGAUGUGAUGAGAUGGGAGAGGGACAGCUUUGCGAUCAAUACCAUGAGCAGGAAUCAGCGAUGGGGAGAAUAAGACAAUGGCCUAUCAGAUUGAGGUUGACUUCUCCUUGUAUGUGUGGCAAGCCUGUGACAAUAGAUUGGCCCAGAAAUCCGAUGGCACUUGCCGACAGGGAGGGAAAAAGGAGGAGACAGAUGAAAAGAAAGAUUGCUAAUGCUCUCCAAGCAGGCAUUUUAAUCUGUGACAGAGGUGGGAUUUGGUGAAAGCCAUUAUCACACAGCUAGCACCCCUUUUCACUUCACCCCCUUUCUUUUCUGAUAAGACAACCUUAUCAGGCUGCUGGGGGGGAGAAUGUGUUUGUAUGUGUAUGCGUCUGUACCUUUGCAUGUGUUUGUGUUGCAAAAUGGGAUAUUCCAAAUGCGAUUCAUUGGACCCGAAGCUACCGUACUCUAUCGAUGCAAAUCACCCAAAGAACUCAGUCAAACGGUGAGCGUCGCAAAGUGGAUUCAGAUCACAAUAACCCACUUCACCGGGCAAAGACAGCAAGGCAACAUCAUGAGGUGCAUUGUUACAUGUGUUCUCUGCUACGGCUAUGGCCUAAGGGAAAAGGCCACCUUGGUUUUGUGUGUGUGUGUGUGUGUGUGUGUGUGUGUGUGUGUGUGUGUGUGUGUGUGUGUGUGUGUGUGUGUGUAUGUGUGUGUGUUUUCUGGCCUGUAGGUGUGGAGAUUUCUCUAAUCUCAUCAAUAUGAGCUUUGAGAGAGAGAGAGAGAGUAGGUGGUGAUAGAAGCGUCUCUGUUCCCAGGUCAUAUAUUCGCCUCCAAACUCCAGACUGUCAGCUGGACAAGGUGCAGGAGGUUGAGUAGCGUGUGUGUGUGUGUGUGUCUGUGUUUAUAUAUUCAUGUGGGUUUUGGUAGAGAACCUUUAUUUUGGGGACAUUUUUGUUUUUGAGGACAUCUUUCAAAGACUUAGUUCAUGUGGUCCUUAUGAAUGUUCUGUCUUUUAAAGUGACAUAUUAUCCCCCUCCUCUAAUGAUAGACCCAUAUUUUGCUCAAUUUCCAGCUACACUGAAAACAGUUGUUCAUGUGAGAACUCACAAAGUGUUGUACCCAUAAAGUACUGAAGACCUGUACAUGAACACAUCUGUGUGUGUGUGUGCCCGUCUGUCUCUGCGUGUGGGUGGGUGUUCUUGUGUAUGUGUGCAUGCAUGCCGGACAGCACAGCCUGUAUCCCGUCUUACUAUGUGUGUGUGUCUAAACAUGAUGUCCCUCCUGUGAUCAGAACAAUCCAUCAGGCCUUGCUGCUCAUUAAUCACCAGACACACACACACACACACACACACACACACACACACACACACACACACACACACACACACACACACCUUCCAGAUCAGGGCAGGCAGUGAUGAACAGUAGUAAGAGUUUAGUGAAGCACUCACACCUGAACCACAAACACAUCAGAAGACAUGACCAUGGCCUCGAAUGGCCUUUUGAAAAAAAAACUCUAGACACAAAAUCCUGCUCAGAGACCCGGUGAUCUUACUCUGGAUUGUUUCAAUAUAGACAACACUUCCUUUAGUCAUCUUUGAAAUAAAAACACUGAUUUGAUAAUUCAUGUGGAAUAUACAUCAACCAACCAUACUUUUGUAAACACCUAGGAAUACAUGCAAACCAAAGCAACAGCACUACCACAAAUUUCACCUUUAAGGCGCCUGUAUUUUACUUUUUACUGACAUCAUCAGUUAAAUGAUAUAUACCUUAUAUUUAUUGCUUAAGGCUUAGUUAGUGGUGGUGUAGAGAAGUGUGUAUGUUGCAGGAUGUCACUUAUAUUUUGUCCACUUUAUUUUUAAACAAUUACCUCCAGUCUGGCCAUGUCACCAAAAAAUGAAACUGUAGUAGAAGCUUUAUUAAAAACAGCUCCAAAUAACUUUUUAAAACCCAUCCACCCAAACCUUUACCCCAAGUAGACUUGAUGGAUCUGUAAUUGCAUCACUUCUACCUCUGCCUGAUAUUGUCCGAAUCUGUGGAAGUAAAUGUUAUCCUCAGGGAUCGGCUUUUUCUGUUGUUGAUAUUUUUGGUCCUUUGCCUUCAAAUUUUCUUGAAACUUCAAGUUUGAGUUGGUCGCCACUGGAUUGUUGAGGCCAAUGUCGCAACCUCUAAGUCCUCUUUUCCUCUGUUCUUGUCUCAAGUCUCCACUCGAAGCCCUUUACUAUGGAUCAUCAGAUCAGAGCUAAGCAGCCCUCCAUAGAACCAGCGUACUGGCUAAUUCACUAUUGAUCCUGGCCCAUGGACCAAUUUCCACUUGUGUUUGGUUUGGGACUACAGUUUCAGUCACGCUUCGUCUCUCCCUUAGGGGCCAGGGAGGAGCCCCUGCCACUCUCUUAUCAGGCCGAGAGCACACACACAAAGAGUGUGUGGGAUGGAGAAAGAUGGGGAGUGAGAAGCAGGAGAGGAGUGCUGCUAGCUUGCAGAGAAAAAGAGAGAGGGGUCAUUAGUGGAUGGCGAUGAGGUCCAGAGUUUGGGAGAAAACAGAGGGUUACUGGUUUUGUGUGAAGGCAAAGUGCUUCCUGCCACUCCUAUGUAUUUUUUAGUGCAAAUAUUUGUAUGGAUGUGUUGAAAUGAGAGUGACACGUAGACAGGAUACACUGAGCUGUCCAUGGUGCUGAAAGGAGGUCAUGCAUCAAAAGACUGUCCUUUUUGCUUUUGUCUCUCUCCUUUUAAAUCUCACAAGCUAGUUGCUGUAGGGGGUCAUCAGUGUGUGAAGCUGACUUAAUGGUUUUGUGUUUUAACAUUUAUAGUGCGGUAGUACUAUAGUACUGGAGUACUGUUUCUGUGUGAGUUAAUGUAUGUUGACCCAGGCACAUUCCUCUCAAACCAAUCUCACACUUGCACAAAAUGAAGGCUGCUUCAGAGAUCAAACCUGUCCACUUCUCACAAUCCUCUUUCACCCUCGUCUAUCGACUCACCUCUCACUCUCCAUCUGUGCUGUCUCUGCAUGCCUCCCCACCUGCCACCACCUCCCCCAAAGCACUCCUUCUCUUCCUUUUUAUCUCUUGUCUAUCCACCCCUUCCUUUACCUGUCCCUGCUGCUAACCCCCUCUCCGUCUCCCCUUUUUCUUUUCUUCCAAUAACAACAUUCCUGGGACUAAUUGCAAUUCUGUCAGCAGGUAAAUGCUUUGUGACCGGUCGCUGACAGUCACGCCAGCCCCCAGGUUGCUGCUGACAGUCAUUGUGGGGCAGCCCAGGCAACGCUGGCUUGGCAGUCAGUUAGCAGGCGGUGUGUAUCUGGACGUGGCCUCUCAGCUGAAUAGUGAGACUCCCAACUGUCUGCCAGUGUGUGACACUCCCAUUACCCUGCCACUGAAAAAGGUAGACAGCCACCGAACAGCUGGAUAAUGCACUGUCUGACUGACGAUAUACUCUACCUCUUUCACUUCUCACCUUGUCUCCGGGCCUAUGACAACGCCAUCUUGAUACUGUCAGGUUAAGAGCCAGUUUGUGUGGCAUGUUAGCUCUCACAUGGUUGACUCCUGAUAUAAAGCAGAAAGGAAGCAGGAGGGUUCUGGGUUUGAUGGUGAAUGAUGGAUAAGAGGAAACACAGGGGUAACCCUCUUUUUUUUUUAUAUAACUGCAACUGCCUGACAUACUUGAAUCCUUUCACUUAGCAUGAAAAACACUGCUACUUUGGCUCAAGUGCAGAAUAUAUUAUCAGGAAUUUAAAUGUAGCAUCAACCUUAGCGUAGCUUCUUGAUGACCAGGCUUGGCUAAUUAAAGCCGGCUGUUGACAGUUGUCAGUGUGACCCAUGGUGCAGCACUCCCCCCAGGGGUCCUGUUAGCAUGCUAAUGCUAAUCCCCAGUGACGGGGGACAGGGCAAGGCUGUCCCCUGCAGCCCCCCUGAUGUUGUGGCCACAGGAUGUGUCAGGACAGGCACAGUGAUGUGCUAACAUGGAGACGUCCCCAUGUGCAUGUCACACAUCUGUAAUUAGAAAAGAUGCAGGCAGCAAAGGGAGCUGGAGGGGACAGUCUUUGCGAGACCACUUGAUCUUAGAAAAGAGCAAUCUGUGCCUAAAAUGGGCAUCUAAAAGAGCAACUGGUUUCAUUGGCUUUAUUGCAACGAGUUGCCUCAUGGAAGCUCAGGAGGCAUGGAUGAUAUUUGAUGUGAGCAGAUUCGCAGAGAAGGGAGCAACACAGGGCGGCGAAAUGCAGAAAAAUGAACCUGAUAACAGGAAAACUGGAGGAGGGCUGAAAAAAGACAAAGCGCUCGUACACUUGUCUGUCUGUCAGUCUAUCUGUCUGUCUCUCUUCUCCUCUCCAAGGGAAGGUCAAGGACACAUGCAUAUUCAUGGAGGAGCCUGGCACAGGAUCGAUGGCUUUUAAUUGUUUUCUCUUGGUUGGUGGAGGGACAUGCCAGUGUCUAUUGAUCUGUUUGAGCAGAGGCCACUCACAGAGCACGACUGAGAGACCUUUACCUGACUGAACACCGAUAGAGUGUGUGUGGCGGUGUAUGUGUGUGUCAGUGUGUGUGUGUGUGUGGUUUGGAGGAUUGCGUGAUGAUUAGGAUUUUGACACACACAAAACCACAGGCUGCAUAAAAGGGCCUCAUGGGCUUAGAGGUAGACAGACAGAGGUGACACACGGCAACAGAGACAAUGGGAUAUAUGAGGUGGGGGUUUUCAAUGAUGUCAUUUGAAUAUCAUACUUACAGUGAAUGAAUGAAUGAAUUAAUUAAUAGUUAUGAGUAGCAUACAACAAAACGUGGAUUCACAGGAAAAUAUUCACUUUAGCCGUUAGUCACUCAGUGUAUCUAAAUUAAAAUAUGUCUGUAAGACUAUAUAGAUGUUUUCUCAUUUAUGUCAUUGUGAUGAAAAUGGCUCUUCUGCAUCUGUUUUUUCAUGGUGCCAGGUGCAGUGAAAGCUCUCCAAAGUGACUGGCAUGCAAAGCCCCAACACCCAACCUGUACGGACCAGUACCAGGAUCUCCAGCCUCUUCUUUGGCAGGUGUCCCUCAACUUCAUAUACCUUCCUUAUUUGCACUCAUAGGCUUUCCCUGUUUGUUUUUUUUUUCACAAUGAGCUCAAGCAUGAGAGCAGGCCUUGGUGAGGUAAACCAAAGCAUGGUAUCAGGUCGCAGGGUGGUUAGUUGGUUUUCCUCCCUCUUUGCCAGGAGUAUCCUUCCAGAGCUAGUUCAUGAUAACCAAACUCAGGAUGUUGCAACAGUAACAUGUUUGCACACAAACAAGAAAACGUUCAUAAAAGGUGUCAUACGUUUUCAUAUAUUACAAAAAAAAACUAUUCAGAUGUAUUUUAAAGUCCCGAUAUGAUAGGAUUUGUAUCUUGCAGCAAAACAGACGACAAUUAACAGAGAUUUUUUUGAUAAUUUACAAAAGCAAAAAGACUCAGCAACAUGAUUGACUAUUUCUAUGAUGUAAUGUCUGUAACUACUGCAAGGGAGUUGGUAAGAAUUGAUUAACAAACUGGUUAAAAAAAAAAAAGUUUCUACAGCAGAUACUAAGAAGAAACGAACAGGAUGACAUGUUUGUCAGAAAACACAACUUUAAAAUGUUGAAGAAAAGAUCAGAAAAGAGAAACAAGCUGUUACUGUGUCCACAGGGAUGUAUAAAUCAGCCCAAACCUGAGUUAGUUUUAAGUUAAUAGAUGAUUUUUUUUCACCUCUUAUGGUGAGAUAAUUGCACUAUUCCUUGAAAUGUGAUAAAUUCUCUGCUUGUUUAGGACUCGAGCUAAGUUUAACCACAUUUAAACAUCAAGAUUGUAAAAUAUAAAUGCAUUGUUUGGGGGAUGAUGCUUCCUUCACUGAAAAAAAACCAUGUAUUUUUACAGCCAAUUGCAGACACGUCUUAGCAAAGCAAAAAUGUGAAAAUUAGACCAAUUAUGACCACUCUUUGUUGAAAAUUUUAAAAACCAGAAAUAUAAUUCCUAUUGAAGAAUUUCUCAUUGCUCAAACUUGAACACGUUUUCCACGGUUUAGAGAAACAUUUACAUCUGAAUGUUGACCUUGUGAAUAACCCAUGAAUGUGUUCACCUGCCCGUCUCCCAGUCGAAGAUAAUCCCCCCGUCAGAUGCCUCCUCUCCCUCUCGCUUUCAUUUAUUCUUUUGUAGCUGGUUGAAUUUGUCAAUUUGAACAGGCAAAGUUGGGAGAUUGGUGGCAAGUGGGGAGUAAAAGGAGGGUGCAGCGACUGGAAUAGAGAGGAAGAGAAAGAUAAAAAAAGAUUGUGACAGUCAUCCAUUUGACCCAGGCUGUUGAGUGAGCGCAGCCUGGCUUGUCAAAUCUCUGUGCUAACAGUGAAUAGCCAUAUCUGUGCAGAGCAUAGAAGGGUGUCAUGCACUAUGGUUUCAUGGUUCAGGAUAAGGCUGGAUAAAGCCAUUGGCUGGAUGACACAGACACACGCUCUUCAACUUUCUCUCUAACUCCCUGUCUCUCGCUCUCUGGCUCCAUCUUGAACUCAGAAGGGUAAAACAUAAACACAAAUUUCAACCAAGUCAGACUGCUUGUAUGGAAACUACAUAUAUUUUAGUUAGUUAUGAAAGGGGAAGAACCUGUUUCUGUGUUUUAAAAAGAGGAAACAGCUUCUUGCUCAUAUAUUUAACCUUGUACCCUUUGAUUAUUGAACAAUAAGAACCCUCCAUCCUCACUCCUCCCUUUUUUCUACUCCUCUGUAAUAUUCUCCACAUCCACACACACACACACACACACACACACACACACACACACACACACACACACACACACACACACACACACACACACACACACACACACACAGUACCUAUUACUAGCUCAUUAGCCUGAAUCAUUCCAGAAUUAGACUCCAGCUUACUGACAACAGCUCAGAGAAUGGGCCUUUUUUCACUCAGGAGUCAGGGGUUAAGUUACCAAUCAAAAUAGCCAGGCAGAUGUAUUGAGACAUUUUAAUAUUGGCCAUCGUGGAAGCUCUAAAAAAUGUUAAUCUCUCUCUGGCACAGCUCCCCCUGAAGGCAACACAAAUAAGGGUCUUGAGGAGGGGGUUGCUAUUCAAAGAAUUGAUGUACCCUGUGGCAUUUGGAUAAUUGUGUUGGAAUUGCUGCCUCCUUGAAGACUUUGCAGGCUGAGUGUGCUUUGUUCACUUACUUCUUUGCUUACCUGGAUGGAAGAUUUUUCUGUUUCCCCAACCAUCAGACAUGGGAUUUCGCAUCAACUGUAUGCAUGUCAAGAUAAAUGAUGCUCUGUACUGAAUAAAAGUGAGGCUAAGAUAUGUUCCUUUUAAAGGUUGCUGAUGUUUUAAGUUAUGAUGAUCUACUUUCAAAGCUGUGGUUUAGACAUCCCACCCUUCCUGUCAACCAAUCUCAAGUUUGUCCAAACUCCCAUCCUUUAGCGGGUUGGCAGCAGACUUAAUGGCUUAUACUUCAGUAUAGAGGAGGGGCUCUAAAUCUUUUGGCUUUACUUUUAAAGAGCUGUCAUGUUGUCCAUUGUUGUAUAGAGUCCAUUGGAUUUCCCUUGUAUCCAGUGCUAUAUGGUUGUGUUACAGAUGACUGUCUACCAAUGGGUCUGGUUCUGGUUAAGUUUUCUGCUUGUUCGAAGGUUGUUGUUUUUUCCUCUUUAUCUUUUUACAACUUCCAAGCGCUCGCUCAUUAAUGGAUUAAUUUUGAGGUGUGUAUAAAUGACACAAAAAACAAAGCUUAAGACUGCUCUCUGCAUUGGUUGUCUAAAUGUACCUGAGUAAGGUAUGAAUCCCUCAUACCAAACAGCCCCUCCUGUUAAGUGGGCUUGGAGUUUCCAUUGAACCACAGUAAAUAAAAAAAUAAACCACCAGAGGGGGCCAAUGAUGAAAAAAGGGCUGCAACGCAGGCAGGCGAACACACAACACUAUUUUACAUGUUUUACAAUUGUAAAUCAGAUUAUUUCCAUCUCACCCAUCAGCUCUUCUCUUCCUCUUUAUUUCCUCCUUCCUCACAUGGUGUGCCUUCCUCAUCAUCCACACACCCCCACCCUCCACUUUUCCUCUCCGUGGUCCUGUCCUCUCGCAGGGUUCAGACUAAUGACUAGUGACAGUCCACUGAGGGGAGCGAGCUGUUUGCAGUCAGCAGUGCGUUUGUUGGUAAUUAUUUUCCAGAGUGUCACAUUAGUGUCAGCCUCAUGGCGGUGAGAGAGGAGAGGGGACGCUGGGCCCCGGCUGGCUGGAUAUGCUAGGGGAGGGGACAGGGUGUGAUGUUUAGUGGUGGGCAGUGUUGUGUUUAUGUGUGUGUAUAUAUAUAUAUAUAUGCGUGGACUGAAAAAAAAAUGGCAGUGUGUUGAGGACACAGGCUGUCACUGCUCUUUACUUUUUGCCUCUUGGGUACAUGAGACGUAAGAUAAAGGUUAGAAGUGAGUGGAAGAAAAAGGAAAGGCUGCUUUUCAAUCCUGUUUCUUUCUGGAAAAGACACCAUGGCCUUACAUUCAUGCUUGCCUUACAGAACGAAGAUGGUUACAUGUUUUUUUUAUUGUUGACAGGAUAAUAUGUGAAAGUCCAAACUCCACCUCUUUGUCUCCUGGUAGGUUAACCUAGGUUAGACUGAGCCAGCAUUUCCAAUAUGGCGGCCCCUGCUGAUGGGGUUCAAAAGUUGGUAACCAAUAACUGGGUGCAUCUGUGACACUGCCCAAUUUUUUUUAAGGCAGCUUUGAAGUCUAUCAGUGACAGUUGCCAUAUUGGCAAUGCUGACUCAACCUAACUUUUGGUCAUUCUAUCAGAGACGGGUCUGUAGCCUGCUUGCUAAUAGCUACAGUGUUUAACGAGGUGCCAACUCUUAUGCCACGGCAUCAUCAUCUGCUGCAUCUCUCUUUCUCUUGAACAUAGAAUCAUUUUUUCUCUGCAUUUUGUUUUAUUUCUGAAUUAAGGUUGAAGCAGCUGUCUCUUUAAAAGUUCCCUACUUCCACAAAAGGCGGGAGGCGAUGCCCAGCACCUAGGCGACCAGCGUCCAAUCAAAAGUGUGCACUAAGCGCUCCCACUUCUGUAGUUUGUUUGAAAUACGACUUACUUGCAAACAGCAUGGUCCCAUUGGAUUACUACGGUUGCAACGCAGAGUGCAGACUGAUGUGCGACAACAUGGUAAGCAAAUGUAGCUUACAUACAUUGCAGGGGUUAAAGUUUGUGUACCACUGCAUACCGGCUGUAAACUGCUGUUUAUGCCUUCCUGGUACGGCGUACCAUUGUGUACCGUUGUGUACCGGCUUACUUUCACCCCUGAUUCACUGACCUUUGACAUGCUACAAAAAAAUUUGCUCCUGUGUGUGUUGGUGUGUAAGUUGUUUUUGGUGCUUCUACAGCCAGCCUCUAGUGGGCACAUGGGAAACUGCAGAAUUUAACACUCCUGCAUCUGCUUCAUUACUCAAGACUGGAGGUUUUCACUUGGUUGGAACCAAAAAUCAAUCCAACAACCAGUAGAGGACAUCUGUAGACUCUGAACUCUGGGUUCCUGCUCUGCCAACUGAGUUAGAUUGGCCCCACAGACGUUACAUUCUUUGAAAAAGCACUUCUUCCUUUAAGUCGUGAUUUCAGACCACUCUGGUGCUGCAUUUAUUUGAAGAAUGUGUAGCAUUCAUAUUGCUUCGAAAUGACACUGGUUAGAAAUGCUUAAUGUUGUUUAUGUGAACUUCAAAACUGUUUUUUAAUGUGAAAUAAUCCAAUUUUAAGCACACUAUUUAAAGCCAGACUUAACACUAUCAGUUUCUGAUAUUCAGUGAUUAAACGUGAUAAAAAAAAAGAUAAUUGCUCUACAGACCUUUUCUUAGUAUCUUCAGUAUGAACUUUAGACAGAGUGUCAUAGACAGGGCAUGAAAACUUCCAUACUGUUUCUCCUCUUAUGAAGGUUUUGUUGACAGUUGGGGAAAUGUAUUCUUUAAGUUAUGACAUAAUUGGACAGUACGUUCCCUGAAGUCACACAGCAUGCAGUUCAUGCUCUGUGUCCUUCACUGAAUAUUUCGUCUCUUUGACAACCAUUUACACCAACUGUACUCUCCUCAUAAAACCGCGUUCAGUUCAGGGAAUUUAACUUCAGCAGGAUGAACAAAGUUGAGUACCUACAACUGUGCUGUAAAUGUGUAAACAUACAGGAUACUGAUGUGUGGUUGUGUGUGUGUGUGUCUGUGUGUGUGUGUCUGUGUCUGGUGGGGGUCAGUCACUGGCCCCCUUGGGAGGAAGCGAUCAAUGAUUGAGACCAUAAUGCACCUCUCUGUAUUCCUCCUCACAUUCACGCUCGCUGGCUGCUAUUGGGAGCUGUCACGCACACACACACAUUGACACACACACUUCCACUUUCCCCCCUCGCACGCACACACACACAUUGUCACAUGUUCGACAGCUCAUCUCUCACACGUUCCCUUCCACUCCAUCUUGUAGCUGUCUGGUCGAUGGCCUCUCUCUCUGUCUCACUUCCUUUGCUCAGUGUUUGGCAGACUGUGCCGCUCUGGCGCUGUCUCUCCCUAUGUUAAUAUAGUAGCUAACCUCUCUCUCCAUAGCACUGCUACCAGACUGUCUCUAUGUUGAUAUACUGAGGAGAGUGUGGAGCACUCCGACACACGACUACUACCCAACUGACUCCACAGAACUGAGCACUCUUCAUCUUCACCACUGCCACUGCUUGGGCUCUCCGACGCAGCUCUUUUCAGCUUUUCCGACAGGUAUAAAACACUUUUAAAGGACAGAAUACUCCCUUUUUUCCUCCCUCUCACUCUCUUUUCUUUGUCUUUAGGGGAACCUGUAUGAAUUUUGAAAGCAAUCUGCUGUAACUGGAGCUUGUGAGUCCCACAGCAAAAAGGUAAUUGCCACUAAUUGGUGUGUGGAAAUGAUUACAGCAGUAACUUAGUUUACUCCAUGCCCCAAAAACAGGAAUACAGGAGAGAGGAAGAAAUAAAGACAGGACUAUUUAAUGUUUGCUGCUCUAAUUAGGCAUUGAAAGAAGUUAAAAGACUCUACUGAUGACCCCUGGCAUCAUAAUAAAAGAAGUGGAAAACUCUCAUCAUGUUGAUUUCAUUUGCUUUGAAGAUCCAUCACUUGUUGGAAUUACGCAGAGGAACUUGGUCGAAAUUUUCAGCAUUUGAAAUUGUUUCAAAAUGUUUCAAACUCGGAGACAGAGUGACGCUGCUUAACAGAGCAAACAACGGCCAGAGAGAGACUAAAUCAGACCACAAAUGGUGUGCAUUAAGACGUUACGCUGUGUGUGUGCAUGUCCGUGUGUGUGUGUUUGACAGUCAAGAAGAUGGCCAAGUGACUCACCUCCUGCCAGAAAAUGAAGACAUACAAUUAACAUCAUAUCCCAUCAUCCUCAGCUGAGCGGGCAGGCCUGUAAUUGGCUGGCUGUCCAGCCUGCGUGGCUUCGGGUGGCAAUUUAUUCUGGGAGCCGUGCAGUUUACCCAGGGCGGCUAACUGCCCCUGUGCCAUAACCUG